This 253-nucleotide ribosomal RNA is filed under the name uncultured bacterium. RNAcentral's name for it is "partial 16S ribosomal RNA". It matches the Rfam family "Bacterial small subunit ribosomal RNA", at positions 524 to 776 of the family's 1533-position model. The record is from RNAcentral.
UACGAGAGGCCCAAGCGUUAUUCGGAUUUACUGGGCUUAAAGAGUUCGUAGGCGGCGCAGCAAGUAGGGUGUGAAAGCCCUCGGCUCAACCGAGGAAUUGCGCUCUAAACUACUGUGCUUGAGGAACCUAGAGGUGAGCAGAACAGAUGGUGGAGCGGCGAAAUGCGUUGAUAUCAUCUGGAAUACCGGAGGCGAAGGCGGCUCACUGGGAGUUUUCUGACGCUGAGGAACGAAAGCCAGGGUAGCGAACGGG